UGAGGAAUAUUGGGCAAUGCCCGCAAGGGUGACCCAGCAACGCCGCGUGGAGGAUGAAUGUCGUAAGAUUGUAAACUCCUGUUAGAGGGGAAGAAUAGUACCGGUUGGACCGGUAUAUGACUGUACCCUCAGAGAAAGCCCCGGCUAACUACGUGCCAGCAGCCGCGGUAAUACGUAGGGGGCAAGCGUUGUCCGGAUUUACUGGGUGUAAAGGGCGCGCAGGCGGGAUAAAAAGUCAGUGGUGAAAUCCUACAGCUUAACUGUAGAACUGCCUUUGAUACUUUUAUUCUUGAGUUCGGGAGAGAGAGACGGAAUUCCAGGUGUAGUGGUGAAAUACGUAGAUAUCUGGAAGAACACCGGUUGCGAAGGCGGUCUCUUGGUCCGACACUGACGCUGAGGCGCGAAAGCGUGGGGAACAAACA
This 422-nucleotide ribosomal RNA is filed under the name uncultured bacterium. RNAcentral's name for it is "bacterial SSU rRNA". It matches the Rfam family "Bacterial small subunit ribosomal RNA", at positions 355 to 774 of the family's 1533-position model. The record is from RNAcentral.